UCCAAUCUGCUCACUGAAUAAUUAAAGAGCCGCAGUAUCUUGACUGUGCAAAGGUAGCAUAAUCAAUAGUUUAUUAAUUGAAAACUUGUAUGAAAGAUUAGACGAGAAAUUUAUUUUCUUUAUUUUAAAAAAUUAAAUUUUAAAUUUAAGUGAAAAUGCUUAAUUAAAUAUAAAAGACGUGAAGACCCUAUAGAUUUUUAUUAUUUACUUAAAUCUUAUAAGUUGGUUUAAUCUAAAUAAUUUCAUUGGGGUGAUUUUGUAAUACAUUAAACUUAAUUUCUUAAAACCAUAAAUAAUUGAAAUUUUUGAUCUAAAAUUUUUAAAGAAAAGAUUAAAUUACCUUAGGGAUAACAGCGUAAUUUUUUUUAAGAGUUCAUAUAUAUAAAAAAGCUUGCGACCUCGAUGUUGAAUUAAGAUAAUAUAUUGAAGUAG
RNAcentral lists this ribosomal RNA (432 nucleotides) under Trichadenotecnum yamatomajus. Its description in RNAcentral is "partial 16S ribosomal RNA". The record is from RNAcentral. Lineage: Eukaryota; Metazoa; Arthropoda; Insecta; Psocodea; Psocidae.